Molecule: ribosomal RNA, 399 nt
Filed under: Escherichia coli
Lineage: Bacteria; Pseudomonadati; Pseudomonadota; Gammaproteobacteria; Enterobacterales; Enterobacteriaceae
Also listed under: 1 other name
Description: bacterial SSU rRNA
Rfam family: Bacterial small subunit ribosomal RNA
Source: RNAcentral
AAAUUGAAGAGUUUGAUCAUGGCUCAGAUUGAACGCUGGCGGCAGGCCUAACACAUGCAAGUCGAACGGUAACAGGAAGCGCUUGCUGCUUCGCUGACGAGUGGCGGACGGGUGAGUAAUGUCUGGGAAACUGCCUGAUGGAGGGGGAUAACUACUGGAAACGGUAGCUAAUACCGCAUAACGUCGCAAGACCAAAGAGGGGGACCUUCGGGCCUCUUGCCAUCGGAUGUGCCCAGAUGGGAUUAGCUUGUUGGUGGGGUAACGGCUCACCAAGGCGACGAUCCCUAGCUGGUCUGAGAGGAUGACCAGCCACACUGGAACUGAGACACGGUCCAGACUCCUACGGGAGGCAGCAGUGGGGAAUAUUGCACAAUGGGCGCAAGCCUGAUGCAGCCAUGC